This 253-nucleotide ribosomal RNA is filed under the name uncultured bacterium. RNAcentral describes it as "partial 16S ribosomal RNA". It matches the Rfam family "Bacterial small subunit ribosomal RNA", at positions 524 to 776 of the family's 1533-position model. The record is from RNAcentral.
UACGAAGGGGGCUAGCGUUGUUCGGAAUUACUGGGCGUAAAGCGCACGUAAGCGGAUCGUUAAGUCGGGGGUGAAAUCCCAGGGCUCAACCCUGGAACUGCCUUCGAUACUGGCGAUCUUGAGUUCGAGAGAGGUUGGUGGAAUGCCGAGUGUAGAGGUGAAAUUCGUAGAUAUUCGGCGGAACACCAGUGGCGAAGGCGGCCAACCGGCUCGACACUGACGCUGAGGUGCGAAAGCGUGGGGAGCAAACAGG